Molecule: non-coding RNA, 96 nt
Filed under: Dolosigranulum pigrum
Lineage: Bacteria; Bacillati; Bacillota; Bacilli; Lactobacillales; Carnobacteriaceae
Also listed under: 1 other name
Description: TPP sequence
Rfam family: TPP riboswitch aptamer (THI element)
About the family: Vitamin B(1) in its active form thiamin pyrophosphate (TPP) is an essential coenzyme that is synthesised by coupling of pyrimidine and thiazole moieties in bacteria. The previously detected thiamin-regulatory element, thi box was extended, resulting in a new, highly conserved RNA secondary structure, the THI element, which is widely distributed in eubacteria and also occurs in some archaea. Analysis of operon structures identified a large number of new candidate thiamin-regulated genes, mostly transporters, in various prokaryotic organisms.
Source: RNAcentral
UAGACGUACUAGGGGAGCAAUUUGCUGAGAAGAGAUAUCUGACCCUUUGAACCUGAUCUAGGUGAUACUAGCGUAGGGAAGUGCCAAUAUAUGAUG